UUUACGUACUGGAAAUAAUAUAAAAAUUAAAGCAUCAAUUUGAGAGAGUCAGUUGAUUUCUUGUCUUCUCGAGCUACCGGCUGUGUCCAUAAUGCAUCUCGUCUUGGUUUCUCUGCUCUUCCUAACCCUCUACUGGCCGAUCAGCGCCCAUACCGACAGGCAGACAGAAGGUACCUUUACAAGAGGCAGACAAAACCGAAUUGGCCUUACGGACAUGAUGACAAUAUAUUCGACGCGCAGGACAGAGAUCGGUGCCAGCCUGGCAAGACUUUUGACAGACGCACAAAUACAUGCAGGACCUCUCAUGGAUGAUUUUAAGUUGAAUUAUUUUAUCAUGCUUUGUUAAAAUUUUUAAAAUUUGCUUCAUUUUGUAAAAAAAAAUCAGAUAAUAAUAAAAAAAAAAUUAUGUUACGCUUAUAAUAAAUCUGAUAAAAUAAUAAUUUGAAAAUAAUUGAAAAUCAUAUACUUACAAACCUUUUUUGUUACGGCCUGAGCAGCAAAUUGGUUUUCAACAAUUACCCUGGGAGCUGUAAGCUUUAAGCUUGUCAAUAUUAAUCAGCGAGCGUUAUUUUGAAUUCGUCUAUUUAUUUCAUUGAUUUGAAGUGCGCUAUAAUUUAAAUUAUUAGGUAAGCAUAUUUAAUAAAAAAAAACGACCCGCAUUACAGGAGUUUCCAUACUGUUAAUGAAUAAUAAAUUGUAAUUAUUUUGAUAACACCGCAAAAAAUUUUAAAUAAAACAUAAGUGUUGUUUGAAUUAUUUAGGAAGCAAAUUUAUGCAAUUGAAUCACUUGUUGACCUUGGUAGCUUGAACUUGUAUUGUUAGGAGAUCCGAUAUUUAAUAAAUAACCGGUCAGUCUGGGAAUUCCUAAACAGGUUCACUGCAAACCUUGUCGAUAAAAAAUUGUUUUGAGGAAGCCUGCCCACUGACAAAAAUAUAAAAGCUAAGGCGUGUCCUCAGGAUGGCUCAGUUGAUCUCCUUCUUUUUAUUGUGGCGAGACGUGCUUGAAAAUGCAUCUUGGCUUGUUCGCUUUGCUCGUGCUUACUUUCUGCUGGUCGAUAAGCGCCCAGAACUAUAACCAAAACUACAGACAGACCGGCGCAUAUCAGAAUCCACCAAGGCAGCAGAGGCCAUCCGCGAUCAAUUACAAUCAGCAGCAACAGCAGCGGCGGCCGGUUGCACCAAACCAGCAAAACAGACCUUUCCAGCCUCAGGUCAGACCCCAAACACGACCCCAGAGACCUCAGAAUCCCCAACAGCCACCGCUCACCGCUAUAUUUGACGCGCAAGAGAGAGAUCCCUGCGGGCCCGAUGAGGCUUAUGAUGAACGCAGCAAUAGAUGCAGGCCCAUUUUUGGAUAAAUGUCUCUUGAAAAAUGUAUCUCGCACGUUUAUUUUUUUUUUUUUUUUUUUUUUUAAUAUUAAUAAAGUAAUCAUCAAGCACUACUAGCCUAUUUUAUUGUUUGCAUAAAUUUAAAUGUGAUUAAAUGACAUAAAGUUUAUUAACUUUAUAAAGCUUCAAAAUAUAUCAUAUUUGAUUCCUUAUUUCUUUUGCUCAUUCUUCACCAUUUUUGUUCUUGUGUUUUCAAUAUGUAGACGUUUUAAAAUAAAAAUUUUAGGGGCGAAUGAAGAAAUGGCUUUUCGCUAGCAAACAACUUGCUUAAGCACAGCAACAUCUCCUUUGAAAGAGAGCGUACCGGCCGCUAGAAAAAAAAAUGGGGAGGGAGUUUUGUCAUUUAUAAAUUUUGUUAUUUAAAAAAGAGAAAAUGCAAUUUAAUUGAUUAUUCAUUAGCAGCCGGAUUUAUAUUGCUCUUAUUUCUUAUAUUUUUAAUUCAUUGGGGAAAACCUGUGUAGACGACCGGGCUGUCCUGGAGCUUCCUAAACCGGUUUCUCUUUCCAACUCGUCGUGUGAAAUGCACCAGGCAGAUUAUUUUGCGAUACCCACUGUACAAUUGCGUAUAUAUAGAGGCUCCGAGAUCACCUCCGUACGUUAAGUUAGUCUCUAUUUCUGAUUGUGGUGCAUCCGCUUUUCAAAAUGAAUCUGGGCCUAUUUGCUUUUCUUUUCCUGACUCUGAGCUUGACGGUCAGUGCCCAAUACUCCUACAAUUAUGGACAGACGGGAGCACUUCAGUAUCCUCAGAAUAUAGCCGGACAGAGGCCGUAUCAGCAGCAGCAGCAGCGGCCAUUCCAGCAAAGUAACGCCUAUCAGCCGCAGGUUAGACCCCCAGCACGACCCCAGAAGCCCCAACGCCCCCCAGUGGGCACUUUUAUCGGUGCACCUGAUAGAAAUUCUUGUCCGCCCGGCGAGACUUUUGACAACCGCAAAAAUAAAUGCAGACCAUCGUUUGAUUGAAUUGAUCACUUAAGUUUUUAUUGUGUUUGUUUUUUUUCCAUUUCAAUUUUUAACUGGACCAUGAGUUUUUACAAUUAUUGUAUCACAAAAUGAAUUAAAUUGUUCUUCAUUAUUGUUCAAAUAAGCAGAAAUAGUCAAUCAUCUUUGUAAUAAUUCAGAAAUAAAAAUGAAUUCCACAUA
Long non-coding RNA from Neocloeon triangulifer, 2529 nucleotides. RefSeq lists it as uncharacterized. The transcript is spliced from 2 exons. The record is from RefSeq and is a predicted model, not a curated record. Lineage: Eukaryota; Metazoa; Arthropoda; Insecta; Ephemeroptera; Baetidae.